GCUGGCCAAGAAAACUUGGCAUCUGGCAUACCUAGGAAUCAUUCAAAAUAGUUUAAUAGGAAGGACAUUUUGAGGCCAGCCAGCAUUAUGGCUUUUGUGGCUCCUGUGGCAUUUCACCUUGGAAAUCUUUUCUUAGGCAUCUAAAAGGAUUGUGGACCUGAGGCACUGUGCUUAAAGGGCCUAAUGGGUUUAUUCUAAAGAAGAAAGAAAAUCUAUAUGCAUGAAAAGAUAGAUUAAGAUUAUAUGCUUAAAAGUUUUGAACUACUCAAAAUUAAGAUUUGGGGAAACAGAAGUAGUAUAUAACCUAAGAAAACUGCCGCUAACUGUGAACUCCCUUGGCAUUUUCUUUGCACUUCUUUGCUUUCUGUUCGAUUGCUGUGUUUUUACCAUUCACACAAACUUUUAAAGAUUAUUCCAUGCAGUUAGCUCUAUGCUUCUAUUAGUGUGUCUCUCUGACUGUCUUUCUCUCUCUCCUCCAUCUGAGUACAAUGGCUAGAAAAUAAUACACACUUAAAUGAAUAAAUAUUAAAUAUUAAAUAUUUUAAUGAACAGAAGGAAUAGUAUAGUAAAUUUCCC
Molecule: long non-coding RNA, 576 nt
Organism: Saimiri boliviensis boliviensis (Bolivian squirrel monkey)
Lineage: Eukaryota; Metazoa; Chordata; Mammalia; Primates; Cebidae
Source: RefSeq, a predicted model, not a curated record